This 1009-nucleotide ribosomal RNA is filed under the name uncultured bacterium. RNAcentral describes it as "bacterial SSU rRNA". It matches the Rfam family "Bacterial small subunit ribosomal RNA", at positions 343 to 1378 of the family's 1533-position model. The record is from RNAcentral.
GGAAGGCAGCAGUGGGGGAUCUGCGCAUGGCGAAAGCUGACGCAGCACGCCGCGUGAGGAUGAAGGUCUUCGAGUGUAACUCCUUUCAGCAGGAACGAAAUGACGGUACUGCAGAAGAAGCCCCGGCCCACUACGUGCCAGCAGCCGCGGUAAUACGUAGGGGGCAAGCGUUGUCCGGAAUUAUUGGGCGUAAAGAGCUCGUAGGCGGCUUGGCAAGUCGGGUGUGAAAACUUCAGGCUCAACCUGGAGGUGCCACUCGAUACUGCUAUGGCUAGAGUCCGGUAGGGGACCACGGAAUUCCUGGUGUAGCGGUGAAAUGCGCAGAUAUCAGGAGGAACACCGGUGGCGUAGGCGGUGGUCUGGGCCGGCACUGACGCUGAGGAGCGUAAGCGUGGGUAGCAAACAGGAUUAGAUACCCUGGUAGUCCACGCCGUAAACGUUGGGUACUAGGUGUGGGGCCUUAUCAACGGGUUCCGUGCCGCAGCUAACGCAUUAAGUACCCCGCCUGGGGAGUACGGCCGCAAGGCUAAAACUCAAAGGAAUUGACGGGGGCCCGCACAAGCGGCGGAGCAUGUGGCUUAAUUCGAGGCAACGCGAAGAACCUUACCUGGGUUGAACUACGCAGGAAAAGCCGUAGAGAUACGGUGUCCUUCGGGGCCUGCGAUAGGUGGUGCAUGGCUGUCGUCAGCUCGUGUCGUGAGAUGUUGGGUUAAGUCCCGCAACGAGCGCAACCCUUGUCCUAUGUUGCCAGCGGGUAAUGCCGGGGACUCGUAGGAGACUGCCGGGGUCAACUCGGAGGAAGGUGGGGAUGACGUCAAGUCAUCAUGCCCCUUAUGUCCAGGGCUGCACACAUGCUACAAUGGCCGGUACAAAGGGCUGCUACUCCGCGAGGAUGAGCGAAUCCCACAAAGCCGGUCUCAGUUCGGAUUGGAGUCUGCAACUCGACUCCAUGAAGUCGGAGUCGCUAGUAAUCCCGAAUCAGCAACGUCGCGGUGAAUACGUUCCCGGG